This 74-nucleotide transfer RNA is filed under the name bacterium JGI 053. It matches the Rfam family "tRNA". Rfam says of the family: Transfer RNA (tRNA) molecules are approximately 80 nucleotides in length. Their secondary structure includes four short double-helical elements and three loops (D, anti-codon, and T loops). The record is from Rfam by way of RNAcentral. RNAcentral also lists the same sequence under 5 other names.
GGCAGGGUAGCUCAGCCGGUUAGAGCGUACGACUCAUAAUCGUAAGGUCGGGGGUUCGAGUCCCCCCCCUGCUA